GUGGGGAAUUUUGGACAAUGGGCGCAAGCCUGAUCCAGCCAUUCCGCGUGCAGGAUGAAGGCCUUCGGGUUGUAAACUGCUUUUGUACGGAACGAAAAGGUUCUCUCUAAUACAGGGGGCUGAUGACGGUACCGUAAGAAUAAGCACCGGCUAACUACGUGCCAGCAGCCGCGGUAAUACGUAGGGUGCAAGCGUUAAUCGGAAUUACUGGGCGUAAAGCGUGCGCAGGCGGUGAUGUAAGACAGUUGUGAAAUCCCCGGGCUCAACCUGGGAACUGCAUCUGUGACUGCAUUGCUGGAGUGCGGCAGAGGGGGAUGGAAUUCCGCGUGUAGCAGUGAAAUGCGUAGAUAUGCGGAGGAACACCGAUGGCGAAGGCAAUCCCCUGGGCCUGCACUGACGCUCAUGCACGAAAGCGUGGGGAGCAAACAGGAUUAGAAACCCCUGUAGUCC
This 450-nucleotide ribosomal RNA is filed under the name uncultured bacterium. RNAcentral describes it as "partial 16S ribosomal RNA". It matches the Rfam family "Bacterial small subunit ribosomal RNA", at positions 354 to 796 of the family's 1533-position model. The record is from RNAcentral.